UACGGGAGGCAGCAGUGGGGAAUAUUGCGCAAUGGGGGCAACCCUGACGCAGCAACGCCGCGUGAAGGAUGAAGGUUUUCGGAUUGUAAACUUCUUUUAUCAGGGACGAACUCUGACGGUACCUGAUGAAUAAGCUCCGGCUAACUACGUGCCAGCAGCCGCGGUAAU
Molecule: ribosomal RNA, 168 nt
Filed under: uncultured rumen bacterium
Lineage: Bacteria
Description: partial 16S ribosomal RNA
Rfam family: Bacterial small subunit ribosomal RNA
Source: RNAcentral